Dreissena polymorpha is the source of this 389-nucleotide long non-coding RNA. RefSeq lists it as uncharacterized. The transcript is spliced from 3 exons. Lineage: Eukaryota; Metazoa; Mollusca; Bivalvia; Myida; Dreissenidae. The record is from RefSeq and is a predicted model, not a curated record.
UACAUUUGCGUCUAUAAACGUUUACUUGGGAACCCCGCAAAGUCACGUGAUCCUCUCGAAAUUUCGAUAUACAGGGUAGAUUGAGGGUAAAUUACGCUUAAUUAUUUGGACUAGUAGUAGCUGUACUGCGAGAUAGAAAAGUAGAGUAAUGCCUCCCAAAAGACCACUACUAAAGCGUCGCAGGAGCUCCUAUGACUUUUUUGAGCUAAACACACCAAAAGAAGAAAGGAAGGAGUUAAGGGAUAAGUGGAAAUUAAUGUCACCAGAGGAAAAGAGCCCUUAUCAGAUAAUGGCUGAGAAAGAAGAUGAAAACUAUAAAAACAAGCGGUCGUCGGGUAAAUAUGUAAUACAAUCCACUGGCAGUGGCAAGGAGAGGACCAAUGAUCAUG